CCUACGGGAGGCAGCAGUAAGGAAUAUUGGACAAUGCUCGCAAGAGUGAUCCAGCCAUGCCGCGUGCAGGAAGAAUGCCCUAUGGGUAGUAAACUGCUUUUGAACUAGAGAAAACCCCAGUACGUGUACUGGGCUGAUAGUAUAGUUAGAAUAAGCAUCGGCUAACUUCGUGCCAGCAGCCGCGGUAAGACGAAGGAUGCAAGCGUUAUCCGGAUUCAUUGGGUUUAAAGGGAGCGUAGGUGGACUGAUAAGUCAGUGGUGAAAUCUCCGAGCUUAACUCGGAAAUUGCCAUUGAUACUGUUGGUCUUGAGUACAGUUGCUGUGGCGGAAUAUGACAUGUAGUGGUGAAAUACAUAGAGAUGUCAUAGAACACCGAUUGCGAAGGCAGCUCACAAAGCUGUAACUGACACUGAGGCUCGAAAGUGCGGGGAUCAAACAGGAUUAGAUACCCUGGUAGUCCGCACCGUAAACGAUGAUUACUCGCUGCUAGGGGGCAACCUUUAGUGGCUUAGCGAAAGCGAUAAGUAAUCCACCUGGGGAGUACGCCGGCAACGGUGAAACGUCAAAUGAAAUUGACGGCGNGAGGACGNGCGACGGACGACGACGAGGGGAGGAGG
RNAcentral lists this ribosomal RNA (617 nucleotides) under uncultured bacterium. Its description in RNAcentral is "bacterial SSU rRNA". It matches the Rfam family "Bacterial small subunit ribosomal RNA", at positions 338 to 959 of the family's 1533-position model. The record is from RNAcentral.